AAAGUGGAGCAAUCCAUGAGUAAAGUGGCGUACGGGUGAGUAACACGUGGGUAAUCUACCUCUGGGUGGGGAAUAACCCUGGGAAACCGGGGCUAAUACCGCAUAAGCCUGGAAAGGGAAAGGCGAAAGUCGCCGAGAGAGGAGCCCGCGGCCGAUUAGCUAGUUGGUAGGGUAAAGGCCUACCAAGGCGAUGAUCGGUAGCCGGCCUGAGAGGGCACACGGCCACACUGGCACUGAAACACGGGCCAGACUCCUACGGGAGGCAGCAGUGGGGAAUCUUGCACAAUGGGGGCAACCCUGAUGCAGCGACGCCGCGUGAGCGAUGAAGCCCUUCGGGGUGUAAAGCUCUUUCGGCUGGAACGAUGAUGACGGUACCAGCAGAAGAAGCUGCGGCUAACUACGUGCCAGCAGCCGCGGUAAUACGUAGGCAGCGAGCGUUGUUCGGAGUUACUGGGCGUAAAGAGUGCGUAGGCGGUUGGCUAAGUUUGGUGUGAAAUCUCCCGGCUCAACUGGGAGGGUGCGCCGAAAACUGGCUGGCUGGAGUGUGGGAGAGGCUAGCGGAAUUCCUGGUGUAGCGGUGAAAUGCGUAGAUAUCAGGAGGAACACCUGCGGUGUAGACGGCUGGCUGGACCACUACUGACGCUNAGGCACGAAAGCGUGGGGAGCAAACAGGAUUAGAUACCCUGGUAGUCCACGCCCUAAACGAUGCAUACUUGGUGUGGGCAGUUCAUUCUGUCCGUGCCGGAGCUAACGCGUUAAGUAUGCCGCCUGGGGAGUACGGUCGCAAGGCUG
RNAcentral lists this ribosomal RNA (792 nucleotides) under uncultured Actinomycetes bacterium. RNAcentral describes it as "bacterial SSU rRNA". It matches the Rfam family "Bacterial small subunit ribosomal RNA", at positions 71 to 896 of the family's 1533-position model. The record is from RNAcentral. Lineage: Bacteria; Bacillati; Actinomycetota; Actinomycetes.